GCCGCGGCGAUAGCUCAGUGGGUAAAGCGCCAGGUGAGAAGAUGGUGAUUACUCCGAGAGCUAUUAUUUGUGCGGGUUCGAAUCCCGCCUGUGGCA
This 96-nucleotide transfer RNA is filed under the name Aromia moschata. RNAcentral's name for it is "tRNA-OTHER". It matches the Rfam family "tRNA". Rfam says of the family: Transfer RNA (tRNA) molecules are approximately 80 nucleotides in length. Their secondary structure includes four short double-helical elements and three loops (D, anti-codon, and T loops). Further hydrogen bonds mediate the characteristic L-shaped molecular structure. tRNAs have two regions of fundamental functional importance: the anti-codon, which is responsible for specific mRNA codon recognition, and the 3' end, to which the tRNAs corresponding amino acid is attached (by aminoacyl-tRNA synthetases). tRNAs cope with the degeneracy of the genetic code in two manners: having more than one tRNA (with a specific anti-codon) for a particular amino acid; and 'wobble' base-pairing, i.e. permitting non-standard base-pairing at the 3rd anti-codon position. The record is from RNAcentral. Lineage: Eukaryota; Metazoa; Arthropoda; Insecta; Coleoptera; Cerambycidae.